GGGCAGGAAGCAACUUCUGGGCUGUCCCCUUCUCUGUCCUGGGAGCCUCGGGCUGAACCUAGUUUGCUCACCUGUUGAGGGCCCCUGCUGUCCCGGCCUGGAUGAACUGUGGAUGGUGGUUGAUGACAGAGGAGGAGAGUGGAGGGAAGGACCCAGAGAAAGAAAUUCCAAGAGGGAGAAAGAAAGGAAUCUAGUUUCUGAAGUCCUGGCUGGCCAGCCCCCUGCAGCGGCGCCGACACUGCCCGGUGUCCGUGGCACACGCCGGGUCUCACUGUGUUCCGGUUGGUUGAGGCCGCCGGGGGACCCCUGGCAUGGAUGCCGUGGAAGAAAGGAGUCAGGCGCCGUCCUUCCAUGCUAGAGGAGGAACUUGAGCCUCUACCCCAAAGUGGUAGAGCGGAGACCGAUCCCAGGUCUGUGGGCAUCUGGGCAGGAGGUCCUGCUCUGGACCAAGCCACAGACUUGAGAGCCUGGCCCCAGGACUCCCUCGAGGUCAGAGCCAUCGUCUGAAGGAAGGUGACAGGCUACAGGCAGGACCCCACGUAGCUUACAGGCCCCUUGCUCAAAACUGCUGAGGAUUUCCAGGCGGCAGCAGCGAGACAGCCACACAGGCCUCGGCCCAGCGGGAGGGGCCUCACCUGGAGCUCGGCCUGCGAGACAGUGUGAAGAGCAGAAAAACACAGGACGUGAAUCACUGGUCACAAUCACUUGGACUAUCAAGAUGGGUCCUCACAGCAAGCGGUUACUACAGACGGCAAUUUCUAAAACAGGCAGAUUAAAGAUAGAGUCAAAUGAGAGACAGGCCUUCUUUGGUCUUUGUUUUGGGUAAUAGAACUGAACACAAGUGUGCCGUCAGAGAAAAGAAUGCAAUUCUAAAAACGUUACACAAUUGUCUACAUUGAUUUACACACUUCCUUUAUCACAGAUGUCGUUCUGUAGAUAUUUCUUAUAGAAAUCCUUGGAAAUAAUGCCGGCUUUUGUGUUUUCCAAUUAAGUCAUUUAGUUUGCUGUUGAAGGUUAUCUUACUUGUCUGAGGGGCUAAGUUAUAAAAACCAACCGCCACUAAUUACAGGAGUGGUACAGCGAUCCUGGACUUUUAACCUUUUUCACGGCGAGAGUUCACAAGACAGACUGGGACACGGCACAGCAGGAGAAAUGAAAUGCAAGCUCUGCUCGGCCGUGAGGGCCUCCUCAACCGCAGGACACUGGCCCCAGGGCGGCCACAGCGCACGCCUGCCCUGCAGCGGUGUCCGGGACACCCGAGGCAGGUGGAAAAAGCCCCCGGAAGGUUUCCAGGCCUCACCUCACGCCCCCACCAGGCCAGCU
This is a long non-coding RNA of Lemur catta (Ring-tailed lemur), 1323 nucleotides long. RefSeq lists it as uncharacterized. NCBI's taxonomy places the organism in Eukaryota, Metazoa, Chordata, Mammalia, Primates, Lemuridae. The transcript is spliced from 4 exons. The record is from RefSeq and is a predicted model, not a curated record.